CGUACACUCCUGCGGGAGGCAGCAGUGGGGAAUAUUGGACAAUGGGCGCAAGCCUGAUCCAGCCAUGCCGCGUGAGUGAUGAAGGCCCUAGGGUUGUAAAGCUCUUUCACCGGUGAAGAUAAUGACGGUAACCGGAGAAGAAGCCCCGGCUAACUUCGUGCCAGCCGCCGCGGUAAUACGAAGGGGGCUAGCGUUGUUCGGAUUUACUGGGCGUAAAGCGCACGUAGGCGGACUAUUAAGUCAGGGGUGAAAUCCCGGGGCUCAACCCCGGAACUGCCUUUGAUACUGGUAGUCUUGAGUUCGAGAGAGGUGAGUGGAAUUCCGAGUGUAGAGGUGAAAUUCGUAGAUAUUCGGAGGAACACCAGUGGCGAAGGCGGCUCACUGGCUCGAUACUGACGCUGAGGUGCGAAAGCGUGGGGAGCAAACAGGAUUAGAAACCCGUGUAGUCCC
This 450-nucleotide ribosomal RNA is filed under the name uncultured organism. Its description in RNAcentral is "partial 16S ribosomal RNA". It matches the Rfam family "Bacterial small subunit ribosomal RNA", at positions 330 to 797 of the family's 1533-position model. The record is from RNAcentral.